CUCGGCUUGGAGGGAAAUGGGCAGAAAGGGAGAGCAGCUCGCAAGCAGCUCCUCAGGAGAGGCAGCAGCCCCCAGGCCUGGGCGCCUGGCAACCUCCACCCAGGGGAAGGGAGCAGCCGCUCAGUGAAGCUCCGCACAGGCCUGAAACCCACACUGCCGGCUGAAACCCGCUCUGCUGCUUAUCAGCACUCUGUGCCUCAGUAUUCUCAUCUGUAAAGGGGAUCAGUAUCACAGCAAGACUGCUAAAAGGAUCAAACAGUCUGCGCAACGUGUUUAGAACAGCGCCUUGCGCUGUUAGCUGCGAUGGCAGCCUGUGCCCGCACAGCCUCGCUCUGUCUCACAGGGACCAACAGGAGAGGAAUGACCACACCUGCCCUGGGGCACUCACCUCUCCUGCCCAGGGGCGGGCGGCCCAGGAAGCUCCAGGGUCCUGCGGAUGUGCUCUCGGGAGCGGAUGUCAGCCUGGAAGAGAGGGGAGAGGUGCUGGGUCCUGAGCUGGCCUUCGGACCGCCCUGCCCUGCCCAACAUCCUAGCGCAGCAGCCCAGCCUGGCCAGCAGGAGGGCGCUGUGACCCAGGGGCUGCGCCAGAGCCGCAGAGGAAGGGCCCAGACGCCAGGACGGGAGAGGGCAGCCGCUGACCCCACCCCGCACGCUCUCCCAGAAGCUUCCGGAGGCAGCGUCAGGAGGGAAACUGUUA
Non-coding RNA from Microcebus murinus (gray mouse lemur), 697 nucleotides. NCBI's taxonomy places the organism in Eukaryota, Metazoa, Chordata, Mammalia, Primates, Cheirogaleidae. The record is from RefSeq and is a predicted model, not a curated record.